GCCUUUUAAAGAACUGAGUUUAAUGUGUGAAUUAAGAAGUUGCACAGAAAGAAGGAAUAAAUAUACGGAUAGGGGGCAACCCUGCCUCACUCCACGCUUUAGAGAGAAUCUUGGGAAGUACCAGUGGCAAGCUUUAUGGAGCUGUUACUAUUGGAAUACAGUGUCCGAACGGCAUUACAGAAGGACUGACCAAACCCAAAUUUAUUUAAAGCAGUAAAAAUAAACUCAUGCUCUAAGGAGUCAAACGCCUUAUAAAAGUCUAAAAAAAGAAUAAGACUAUCAUCCUGUACAAGUUCUGGGUAAUCUAUUAUAUCUAAAAUUAAUCUUAUGUUGUUUGAGAUAUGACGAUUCUGCAUGAAACCAGACUGACUCUCAUCAAUAACUUUAUCUAAUACAGGUUUCAUUCUAUUAGCCAGAAUUUGUGCCAAUAUCUUAUAAUCAUUAUUCAGUAAAGAGAUUGGUCGCCAGUUGUCUAAGAGCAAAGGAUCCUUUCCUGGUUUUGGAAUGAGGGUGAUCAAACCUUGACAUAAAGUGGGAGGGAGUGCACCUCUAUCCAUACUUUCCUUAAAAACUUCUAAAAGAAAUGGGGCUAAACUGUCAGCGAACUGUUUGUAAAACUCGGCAGGAAGGCCGUCAGUUCCAGGUGAUUUGUUAAUCUUUAGAUGUUUUAUAGCAUCUGCAACCUCGAUCAAAGAAAUUGAUCUGUCGCAGAGCUGACUAUCCUCCUCAUUCAGCUGAGUAAUUUUGUCUAAAGAAUUAAAAAAAGUUAGACAAGCUUGUUGCUACAAAAUGUAUUAUCUGUGAGAGCUUUAUUCCAAUAAAGUUUAAUGAAUCUCUGAACUUCACAAAUCACUUCUUUAUGCUCAAGAAUGGUACUAUUUAGCUUCCAGUAAGAGGUUUUAGUGAUUAGGGAGGAUGACAACAGGAUUGAUAAACUAACCAUUUUGUGGUCUGAGAGUGGUGUAGGAUAAAUAUCUGUUUUAACUUUUUCUAAAUCUUUUGAGAUAAGCCAAAACUCGAUACGUGAGUGUCUGGUUUGAGUCUUAUUACACCAUGUAUAAGCUAUCUGAGAUGAAUGAGAAUCCCUCCAAGAAUCGAUUAAGUUGAAUCUUUGUGCAAAGAGUCUUAUGAAUGAGUUAGAGUCUGAACUUCUAGAAGACAAUCUGUCCAAAUAGCUGUUAAACACUGUAUUAAAGUCUCCACCAAAAUAAUGAAAGAAUUGGGAUAUUUAGAUAACCAGCGCAGUAGGCGCUCCUCCAACCUAUCAAAAUAUAGUUUAUUCUCCCUCUGACAGUUAAAACCAUACACAUUGACUAAAAUAUAGAUAGACUGAGCAGCCUCAACUAUUAGAAAAAUGUAAUGACCAUCUUUAUCUAUGUCAGAAUUCAAGAUUUUACCAUUAAAUCUUCCUUUAAGUAUGCAAACACCAGCAGCACGCUCUGUACCAUGGGACAUCCACAGAUCAUCUCCCCAUUGCGAUCUCCAAAAUGUUUUUUCUUGUUCUGUUGAAUGAGACUCUUGUAUAAAACAGAAAUCUGAGUUGAACUGCUUGCAAAACAAAAAAAUAGCCUUGCGUUUAACAUUGUUUCUUAAACCUCUUGCAUUUAAAGAAAUAACAGACAGAGACAUAAGGAUAGUAACAAAAAUUAAAAGUGACAAAUAAGAAAAAGCUUAGACCAAGUAAAUGAAGAACAGUUGAAUUGGGAACCUGGUCACUUAAGAGAGUCCUAUAUAAGAUGAGAACUGCAACCCCUGAGUAAGGAAAUUGUGAACUUGAAUAAUAAGAAGAAUACAAUAGUCUAAAACAAUAAAACCAAUGUGGUAAAAAAAAAAAAAAAAGAUAAAAAAAAUAAACGCUUCACAUAUGAGCAUUGAAAGGGAGCUUAUUAGAAAUUUACUUGCUCCAUUUAAAUAACUAAUUAUUCAAAAAAGAAUAAACUAAAAAGAAGCUUAUUCAGCUUGCUCAUAAUAUUUUCAACAAAAAUAUUGCAGCCAAACUCAAGACCAAUAAACUUAUAACAAAUAAACUGCAUCAAUUUAACUCUGAUCAUUUUAUGAGUCCAACAACAAAAACAAAAGAAAGAAAAAAGAACGGCAGUGAAACCAAGUUAAUCUUAAGAUACUUCAGUUUUCACCUCAAAAUACCUUGGAUCAAAUUAUAGGGGUGGAAAAAUCUCUUUUCCCUCCACUAAUGCACGACCUCCUACGAAGAACGCCAGCUUGUUUUCUUUGCGGGCCAGAGUCUGUUUCUUCGGGCGCGGUCGUCAGGGGACAGAUCCUCAGCCAGCUUUAAGUUGUUACCUUUCAGGUAGGUGGACUUCUUAGCAGCGCGCCAGACAGCAUCGCGGUGGAUCCUGGAUGUAAACUGAAUGAUGAUUCCCCCGGGUUGGUUGUUGUUGGAUUUCUUGGGACCGAUGCGGUGGACGGUGUCAACGACGUCGGGGAAUUUAUCUUGCAUCUCCGGUAGGACCGAUCUACAGACUUUGAUCAUCUCCUGCCGCACGUCCUGCUUGUCCCUCUCGGUCAGACCGUAGAGCUUCAGAUUCCAACGGCGUGAAUAGCUCUCCAGGUGAGAGAUGCGCUUUUCCUGUGCUUCAGCUAUUGCUUUAUAUUUUUCGAGCUGUGCUUCAACGCUGACAACUCUGCUCUUCAUAUCAUUUAACUCGACACAGACAACAUCAAAUGACUCCUUAACAGCUGUGAUGUGUUCAGUGUUCUCUUGGACAGCUUUUUUCAUCUCGGAGAUGACUAUGGAGUUGUCACUCACCAUUUUUUCAAGAGUGUCCGACCUCGAGUUAAUCAACAUGGUUACCAGAGUCAGCUGGGGAUUCAUGAACAUCAUCAGUGAUGUUUCUCCACAGCGGGCUCAUCAGUACCUGGUGACAGAAGGUCAAUCCAGCUCUGACUUGAGGCUGUUCAAGAAUCAGCUCCACUUGAUCUGGUUCCACCUCUACCACAGGCAGAGAAACACAGGGUGAGAUCUUCUCCUGCCAGUCAUCACGCUAUAACUGUUUCUAGAAUCGAUUCAAUUCAGAUUCACGAGGUCCCGAAUCGAUCGAUUUGAUCAGGG
Oreochromis aureus is the source of this 3070-nucleotide long non-coding RNA. The record is from Ensembl. NCBI's taxonomy places the organism in Eukaryota, Metazoa, Chordata, Actinopteri, Cichliformes, Cichlidae.